UACGAAGGGGGCUAGCGUUGUUCGGAAUUACUGUGCGUAAAGCGCGCGCAGGCGUUCUUCCAAGUCAGUGGUGAAAGCCCGGAGCUCAACUCCGGAACUGCCAUUGAAACUGUAAGACUUGAGGAUGAGAGAGGUGAGUGGAAUUCCCAGUGUAGAGGUGAAAUUCGUAGAUAUUGGGAAGAACACCGGUGGCGAAGGCGGCUCACUGGCUCAUAUCUGACGCUCAGGCGCGACAGCGUGGGGAUCAAACAGG
Molecule: ribosomal RNA, 253 nt
Filed under: uncultured bacterium
Lineage: Bacteria
Description: partial 16S ribosomal RNA
Rfam family: Bacterial small subunit ribosomal RNA
Source: RNAcentral